GCAUUUGUCCUCUUUGCCAUGUCGGAUUCAUGGCGGAUUGCUUUUUUGUUGUCAAAAGUUUUCCUAUUUUCCCCUGAAAAUUACCGAUGAAUUCCUUAAGAGUUUUUAUUGAUCUCUGUAGGUCACUACCCCAGCGUGGACACCUUGUUUUUUCCGAACAAAUUUUCACAACUACCGCAUCGAUAGACAAGGAAAGCUAAGGAAAACAUAAUCUAGACCAUGGGUAAUCUUCACGUCUAUUGCAGCACAAUUGCAGCAACUAGGAGAAGUCACGUGAAAAGAUGCAGGGCUCAUAUCAACCUAUGUUGUAGAUUCAACAUGUUCAACUGUUUGAUGCCAAAGUGAGGUCAAUGCCAAAGGACAGUUAGAACUAACUCAAACACAGAUGACUGCUGUUGCUGCCUUAGCCACAGGCAGGAAAGUUACUUUCUUUCUUCAGAGAAUUGGAAAGCUGCUGGCAUCCUUACUUGACUCAUUUCAUGUUCUGGAUAGCUUAGGAACCUGAUUGCUGGUGUUAUCAAUCCAUUUAGAUAAUGACCAAGAAGAUCCGGCUUACAGACUGAACAUCAGACGGGUGUCAGCAUCUCUUCGACGUGGCGGUUACAUUCAACAUGUACGUUCUACGUGGAUCAUCUUUUGUUAUUGGUAUGAAUUUUUUGCUAAUUAACUCAUUUGCUGCCACGCCUUUUUAUCCCCAUGUUAGCUUCUUCUUAGCACCAGCCCAAAUUUUGCCGAAAGGCCCUGGCAGUGCACCAUAGGGACUCCCCCCCCCCCCUUGUCGAUGCGGUGGUGGAUUCUAGAGGCGUGCAUUCCAUGUUCUCCUGUCACCGUGUCAGCCCGGACUUGUCAAGAGAUGGCAAGUUCCACCUUGGUCAUGGAUCCUUAAGACAUGGCGCGUAGGGAGUAGAAAACAACCUACGGGUUGCAUGGCGUGGCAGCCAAUGGGUUAAUUAUGUGUGUGUGUAUGUUAUGUGUAU
RNAcentral lists this long non-coding RNA (977 nucleotides) under Daphnia pulex (common water flea). Its description in RNAcentral is "uncharacterized LOC124202456, transcript variant X3". The record is from RNAcentral. Lineage: Eukaryota; Metazoa; Arthropoda; Branchiopoda; Diplostraca; Daphniidae.